UUGUUAGGUGACUGCGUACCUUUUGUAUAAUGGGUCAGCGACUUAUUUUCAGUGGCGAGCUUAACCGAAUAGGGGAGGCGUAGCGAAAGCGAGUCUUAAUAGGGCGUCUAGUCGCUGGGAAUAGACCCGAAACCGGGCGAUCUAUCCAUGGGCAGGUUGAAGGUUGGGUAACACUAACUGGAGGACCGAACCGACUACCGUUGAAAAGUUAGCGGAUGACCUGUGGAUCGGAGUGAAAGGCUAAUCAAGCUCGGAGAUAGCUGGUUCUCCUCGAAAGCUAUUUAGGUAGCGCCUCAUGUAUCACUGUAGGGGGUAGAGCACUGUUUCGGCUAGGGGGUCAUCCCGACUUACCAAACCGAUGCAAACUCCGAAUACCUACAAGUGCCGAGCAUGGGAGACACACGGCGGGUGCUAACGUCCGUCGUGAAAAGGGAAACAACCCAGACCGUCAGCUAAGGUCCCAAAGUUAUGGUUAAGUGGGAAACGAUGUGGGAAGGCUUAGACAGCUAGGAGGUUGGCUUAGAAGCAGCCACCCUUUAAAGAAAGCGUAAUAGCUCACUAGUCGAGUCGGCCUGCGCGGAAGAUGUAACGGGGCUCAAACCAUACACCGAAGCUACGGGUAUCACGUAAGUGAUGCGGUAGAGGAGCGUUCUGUAAGCCUGUGAAGGUGAGUUGAGAAGCUUGCUGGAGGUAUCAGAAGUGCGAAUGCUGACAUGAGUAACGAUAAUGGGUGUGAAAAACACCCACGCCGAAAGACCAAGGUUUCCUGCGCAACGUUAAUCGACGCAGGGUUAGUCGGUCCCUAAGGCGAGGCUGAAAAGCGUAGUCGAUGGAAAACAGGUUAAUAUUCCUGUACUUCUGGUUAUUGCGAUGGAGGGACGGAGAAGGCUAGGCCAGCUUGGCGUUGGUUGUCCAAGUUUAAGGUGGUAGGCUGGAAUCUUAGGUAAAUCCGGGAUUCUAAGGCCGAGAGCUGAUGACGAGU
RNAcentral lists this ribosomal RNA (982 nucleotides) under Pseudomonas veronii. RNAcentral describes it as "partial 23S ribosomal RNA". It matches the Rfam family "Bacterial large subunit ribosomal RNA", at positions 586 to 1574 of the family's 2925-position model. The record is from RNAcentral. Lineage: Bacteria; Pseudomonadati; Pseudomonadota; Gammaproteobacteria; Pseudomonadales; Pseudomonadaceae.